Molecule: ribosomal RNA, 1498 nt
Filed under: uncultured bacterium
Lineage: Bacteria
Description: bacterial SSU rRNA
Rfam family: Bacterial small subunit ribosomal RNA
Source: RNAcentral
AUUGAGAGUUUGAUCCUGGCUCAGGAUGAACGCUAGCUACAGGCUUAACACAUGCAAGUCGAGGGGCAGCGAGGUUGAAGCUUGCUUCAACUGUCGGCGACCGGCGCACGGGUGAGUAACACGUAUCCAACCUGCCAUUCACUCUCGGAUAGCCUUCUGAAAGGAAGAUUAAUACGAGAUGGUAUCAGGAAUCAGCAUUUUUUCUUGAUUAAAGAAUUUCGGUGGAUGAUGGGGAUGCGUUCCAUUAGGCAGUUGGCGGGGUAACGGCCCACCAAACCUACGAUGGAUAGGGGUUCUGAGAGGAAGGUCCCCCACAUUGGAACUGAGACACGGCCCAAACUCCUACGGGAGGCAGCAGCGAGGAAUAUUGGUCAAUGGACGAGAGUCUGAACCAGCCAAGUAGCGUGAAGGAUGACUGCCCUAUGGGUUGUAAACUUCUUUUAUACGGGAAUAAAGUUCACUACGUGUAGUGUUUUGUAUGUACCGUAUGAAUAAGGAUCGGCUAACUCCGUGCCAGCAGCCGCGGUAAUACGGAGGAUCCGAGCGUUAUCCGGAUUUAUUGGGUUUAAAGGGAGCGUAGAUGGGUGUUUAAGUCAGUUGUGAAAGUUUGCGGCUCAACCGUAAAAUUGCAGUUGAUACUGGACGCCUUGAGUGCAGUUGAGGUAGGCGGAAUUCGUGGUGUAGCGGUGAAAUGCUUAGAUAUCACGAAGAACUCCGAUUGCGAAGGCAGCCUACUAAGCUGUAACUGACAUUGAGGCCCGAAAGUGUGGGUAUCAAACAGGAUUAGAUACCCUGGUAGUCCACACGGUAAACGAUGAAUACUCGCUGUUGGCGAUAUAGUGUCAGCGGCCAAGCGAAAGCAUUAAGUAUUCCACCUGGGGAGUACGCCGGCAACGGUGAAACUCAAAGGAAUUGACGGGGGCCCGCACAAGCGGAGGAACAUGUGGUUUAAUUCGAUGAUACGCAAGGAACCUUACCCGGGCUUAAAUUGCACUGGACAGUUUUGGAAACAAGACCUUCUUCGGACCAGUGUGAAGGUGCUGCAUGGUUGUCGUCAGCUCGUGCCGUGAGGUGUCGGCUUAAGUGCCAUAACGAGCGCAACCCUUAUCUUCAGUUACUAACAGGUCAUGCUGAGGACUCUGGAGAGACUGCCGUCGUAAGAUGUGAGGAAGGUGGGGAUGACGUCAAAUCAGCGCGGCCCUUACGUCCGGGGCUACACACGUGUUACAAUGGGGGGUACAGAAGGCAGCUACCUGGCGACAGGAUGCUAAUCCCGAAAGCCUCUCUCAGUUCGGACUGGAGUCUGCAACCCGACUCCACGAAGCUGGAUUCGCUAGUAAUCGCGCAUCAGCCAUGGCGCGGUGAAUACGUUCCCGGGCCUUGUACACACCGCCCGUCAAGCCAUGAAAGCCGGGGGUACCUGAAGUGCGUAACCGUAAGGAGCGUCCUAGGGUAAAACUGGUAAUUGGGGCUAAGUCGUAACAAGGUAGCCGUAAAU